Molecule: ribosomal RNA, 491 nt
Filed under: uncultured bacterium
Lineage: Bacteria
Description: partial 16S ribosomal RNA
Rfam family: Bacterial small subunit ribosomal RNA
Source: RNAcentral
GUGAACGCUGGCGGUAGGCCUAACACAUGCAAGUCGAACGGCAGCACAGUAAGAGCUUGCUCUUACGGGUGGCGAGUGGCGGACGGGUGAGGAAUACAUCGGAAUCUACUUUUUCGUGGGGGAUAACGUAGGGAAACUUACGCUAAUACCGCAUACGACCUACGGGUGAAAGCAGGGGAUCUUCGGACCUUGCGCGAUUGAAUGAGCCGAUGUCGGAUUAGCUAGUUGGCGGGGUAAAGGCCCACCAAGGCGACGAUCCGUAGCUGGUCUGAGAGGAUGAUCAGCCACACUGGAACUGAGACACUGUCCAGACUCCUACGGGAGGCAGCAGUGGGGAAUAUUGGACAAUGGGCGCAAGCCUGAUCCAGCCAUACCGCGUGGGUGAAGAAGGCCUUCGGGUUGUAAAGCCCUUUUGUUGGGAAAGAAAAGCAGCAGGUUAAUACCCCGCUGUUCUGACGGUACCCAAAGAAUAAGCACCGGCUAACUUCGUG